Eptesicus fuscus (big brown bat) is the source of this 164-nucleotide small nuclear RNA. RefSeq annotates it as U1 spliceosomal RNA. The record is from RefSeq and is a predicted model, not a curated record. Lineage: Eukaryota; Metazoa; Chordata; Mammalia; Chiroptera; Vespertilionidae. The transcript has a single exon.
AUACUUAUCUGUCAUGGAAAAUACCGGGUUCACAAAGGUGUUUUUCCCCUGGGGAGGCUUAUCCAUUGCACUCUGGAUAUGCUGACCCCUGCGAUUUCCCUAAAUGUGCGAAAUUCGACUGCAUAAUUUGUGGUAGUGGAGGACUGUGUUCUCGCUUACCUCUG